RNAcentral lists this ribosomal RNA (253 nucleotides) under uncultured bacterium. Its description in RNAcentral is "partial 16S ribosomal RNA". It matches the Rfam family "Bacterial small subunit ribosomal RNA", at positions 524 to 776 of the family's 1533-position model. The record is from RNAcentral.
UACAGGGGGUGCAAGCGUUAUUCGGAUUUACUGGGCGUAAAGAGCGUGUAGGCGGUUUGUUAAGUCUGGUGUGAAAGCCCUGGGCCCAAUCCAGGAAGUGCAUUGGAUACUGGCAGACUAGAGUACGGGAGAGGAUGGCGGAAUUCCUGGUGUAGAGGUGAAAUUCGUAGAUAUCAGGAGGAACAACAGUGGCGAAGGCGGCCAUCUGGACCGUUACUGACGCUAAGGCGCGAAAGCGUGGGGAGCAAACAGG